This 120-nucleotide ribosomal RNA is filed under the name uncultured bacterium. Its description in RNAcentral is "partial 16S ribosomal RNA". It matches the Rfam family "Bacterial small subunit ribosomal RNA", at positions 796 to 915 of the family's 1533-position model. The record is from RNAcentral.
CACGCCGUAAACGAUGAAUACUAGGUGUCGGGGCCGUAUAGGCUCCGGUGCCGCCGCAAACGCAGUAAGUAUUCCACCUGGGGAGUACGUUCGCAAGAAUGAAACUCAAAGGAAUUGACG